UCCGCGCGCCUGUUUACCCAAUUCUAACUCCAUAUUUUCUAAAUUGAGCGACUGUGCUGAGCCGUUCACUUCUUCAUCUCCAUCUGACAUCCGCAAGAACUUGCAACUCUGCUGCGGCAACAUGCUUCCAAAGGUAAAGCCCUAACUUCUAAUUCUUCAAAUAUUCUAUCAAAUUGAUGUGUGGUUGCUGUUAUGUAAUUGUGUAGACUAUUACAGUAUUCUGCUUCCUGAUUCAAGGUUACGGUAUUUUGCUUCCUGUUUGUGUUAAUAGUGAGAAAUGGGCUCAAAUGGAUGACAUUAAUGGAGCACUAAAGUUGGGCAGCAAGUUGAAAAAUAAAGAAAAAUCCUAUAUAACGAGUAUGGGCGAUUUUCUCUAUAUCCAACCCUCAGAACUGAAGUUCCCAUGUUAGUCAAUUAUUAUUUUUUUAUUGUAAUAUUUUUUUCUUCUAAUUUGGCUUUAAACUAUGUCGAAAUAGUUUUGUUAUGAUUCUUUUGAUGUGGGCUUUUGCUGGUUGAGGUUUUUUAUUAAUUGAAGAUGGCAAAUAUUUUUAUAUCUUUUUUCCCAGUAAGGAGACGUAAAAAUUUGUUUCCUCUAUGUUUAAUAUUUUUACUGUUGGGAUUGAUUAUUUUUGUGCUGGUUUUUGUGGCCUGUGAUGAUGAAGAUGAAUUGAGAAAGCAGAGUUCAUUUUCAGUGCAGUUCACUAAUAAGAGUAAUCAGUACCUUGCUUUCAAGGUAUUUUUCUUAUUUUAUUGCAGAUUAUAGUCAACAGAUUGAAAGCUCUGUUAAGCAUGUGGUGAUACUUAUAUCAUCGUUUUGAUUAAUGGAUUUUUAAUGGAAAAGGUCAAAACAACCAGCCCAGAGAGGUACUGUGUUCGACCAAAUGUCGGUAUCUAUUUAUAAUGCAAGCACACAAAGAGGCGCUCGCUGAUAUGCAGGGCAAGGACAAGUUUCUAAUCCAGAGUGUUGUUGCUCCCAGUGGCACAACAAAGAAAGAUAUAGAACAUCUUCAUUACUUGAGGCUGUAAGUUCUUAGUGCAUUCCUUCCCCAUCUACUCAACCUUGGGAACAAAUGUUUCACUGUCUACGAAUUUAUUAGGUAAUGAGAUUGUUAGACAAAUCCAAUUAGGGAUGUCAACGAGCCAAGCCGAG
Molecule: long non-coding RNA, 1150 nt
Filed under: Olea europaea subsp. europaea
Lineage: Eukaryota; Viridiplantae; Streptophyta; Magnoliopsida; Lamiales; Oleaceae
Source: RNAcentral